GACGAACGCUGGCGGCGUGCUUAACACAUGCAAGUCGAACGGAAAGGCCCUGCUUUUGUGGGGUGCUCGAGUGGCGAACGGGCGAGUAACACGUGAGUAACCUGCCCUUGACUUUGGGAUAACUUCAGGAAACUGGGGCUAAUACCGGAUAGGAGCUCCUGCUGCAUGGUGGGGGUUGGAAAGUUUCGGCGGUUGGGGAUGGACUCGCGGCUUAUCAGCUUGUUGGUGGGGUAGUGGCUUACCAAGGCUUUGACGGGUAGCCGGCCUGAGAGGGUGACCGGCCACAUUGGGACUGAGAUACGGCCCAGACUCCUACGGGAGGCAGCAGUGGGGAAUAUUGCACAAUGGGCGGAAGCCUGAUGCAGCAACGCCGCGUGCGGGAUGACGACCUUCGGGUUGUAAACCGCUUUCGCCUGUGACGAAGCGUGAGUGACGGUAAUGGGUAAAGAAGCACCGGCUAACUACGUG
Molecule: ribosomal RNA, 468 nt
Filed under: uncultured bacterium
Lineage: Bacteria
Description: partial 16S ribosomal RNA
Rfam family: Bacterial small subunit ribosomal RNA
Source: RNAcentral